RNAcentral lists this ribosomal RNA (490 nucleotides) under uncultured bacterium. RNAcentral's name for it is "partial 16S ribosomal RNA". It matches the Rfam family "Bacterial small subunit ribosomal RNA", at positions 30 to 507 of the family's 1533-position model. The record is from RNAcentral.
AUUGAACGCUGGCGGCAGGCCUAACACAUGCAAGUCGAACGGUAACAGGGAUCAGCUUGCUGAUUCGCUGACGAGUGGCGGACGGGUGAGUAAUGUCUGGGAAACUGCCUGAUGGAGGGGGAUAACUACUGGAAACGGUAGCUAAUACCGCAUAACGUCGCAAGACCAAAGAGGGGGACCUUCGGGCCUCUUGUCGUCGGAUGUGCCCAGAUGGGAUUAGCUAGUAGGUGGGGUAACGGCUCACCUAGGCGACGAUCCCUAGCUGGUCUGAGAGGAUGACCAGCCACACUGGAACUGAGACACGGUCCAGACUCCUACGGGAGGCAGCAGUGGGGAAUAUUGCACAAUGGGCGCAAGCCUGAUGCAGCCAUGCCGCGUGUAUGAAGAAGGCCUUCGGGUUGUAAAGUACUUUCAGCGGGGAGGAAGGGAGUAAAGUUAAUACCUUUGCUCAUUGACGUUACCCGCAGAAGAAGCACCGGCUAACUCCGUG